UUGUGACUCAGGUGCAGCUCUCUCAGACUAGAGGAGUUUGAGCUGAGAGCUGAGGCCAGAGACCCACAGCAUUUCUCAGUGAGGUUACAGCAUUUCAGCCUGGGAAUAAAUAUGAAGUUUACAGAGUGGACCCUCCAGGACAGCAGAGAGCAUCUUCACACCUGAGUCUCCUGGUUGGUUGUUGGUCAGGUCCAGCUCUCUCAGAUGUGAGGGGUUUGACCUCAGAGCUGAAGCCAGAGAAGCACAGCUCUCCUCUGUGACUCCACAGCCUACCAUCCUGCAGACAGAGUGGUUUGUUUGUAUAAUAUGCAUUUACAUAGGACACGAGGACAUUAUUCAUGUUCAAACAUACAAUUUAGUUUUCCUUUAUGAACAUGAAUGAAAUAAACAUCACCUCAGUGUU
Oncorhynchus kisutch (coho salmon) is the source of this 403-nucleotide long non-coding RNA. RefSeq lists it as uncharacterized. NCBI's taxonomy places the organism in Eukaryota, Metazoa, Chordata, Actinopteri, Salmoniformes, Salmonidae. The transcript has 2 exons. The record is from RefSeq and is a predicted model, not a curated record.